UACCAGCUCUCCGAGUGGUAGGGAUGAUUAUUGGGCUUAAAGCGUCCGUAGCCGGCUUAGCAAGUCUCCUGUUAAAUUCAGCGACCUAAUCGUUGAGCCGCGGGAGAUACUACUAGGCUAGGAGGCGGGAGAGGUCAACGGUACUUCCGGGGUAGGGGUGAAAUCCUAUAAUCCCGGGAGGACCACCAGUGGCGAAGGCUGUUGACUAGAACGCGCUCGACGGUGAGGGACGAAAGCUGGGGGAGCGAACCGGAUUAGAUACCCGGGUAGUCCCAGCUGUAAACGAUGCGAGCUAGGUGUUGGGGUGGCUACGUGCCACUUCAGUGCCGCAGGGAAGCCAUUAAGCUCGCCGCCUGGGGAGUACGGCCGCAAGGCUGAAACUUAAGGAAUUGGCGGGGGAGCACCACAAGGCGUGAAGCUUGCGGUUU
Molecule: ribosomal RNA, 428 nt
Filed under: uncultured archaeon
Lineage: Archaea
Description: bacterial SSU rRNA
Rfam family: Archaeal small subunit ribosomal RNA
Source: RNAcentral